AAACUACAGCCGAUGGUGAACAAGAAGAGAAAUGCUCGCGAAGAAUGGCUUCGAAUUGUUUUAAAGGACUAGAGAAAAGACGGUAGAUCUUCAGAAACAAAUAAGAUUUUCCUUUGUGAGCGUCAUUUGAAGCCAUUGUAAAUUUUGCAUUUUAUGCAUGCGCUUGUGUGAUCAGAUGUAAACAAAGAGGGCAUUGUAUUUGCAUAUUUACAUAUCCCAUGUCUAUUAAAUAUCUAUCUUCUGUAGACCCCAAACGAAAGAUUUUAUAACUGGUAGCGUACCACUGAAAAUUUACCUACAAUAAACACGAAGUUCCCAAGGCUGAGCGUCGCAUUCUCAACGUAUAAAUACCAAAUAAAC
Molecule: non-coding RNA, 360 nt
Organism: Paramuricea clavata
Lineage: Eukaryota; Metazoa; Cnidaria; Anthozoa; Malacalcyonacea; Plexauridae
Source: the annotation of a GenBank genome assembly